AUUGAACGCUGGCGGCAGGCCUAACACAUGCAAGUCGAGCGGAUGAAGGGAGCUUGCUCCUGGAUUCAGCGGCGGACGGGUGAGUAAUGCCUAGGAAUCUGCCUGGUAGUGGGGGAUAACGUCCGGAAACGGGCGCUAAUACCGCAUACGUCCUGAGGGAGAAAGUGGGGGAUCUUCGGACCUCACGCUAUCAGAUGAGCCUAGGUCGGAUUAGCUAGUUGGUGGGGUAAAGGCCUACCAAGGCGACGAUCCGUAACUGGUCUGAGAGGAUGAUCAGUCACACUGGAACUGAGACACGGUCCAGACGCCUACGGGAGGCAGCAGUGGGGAAUAUUAGACAAUGGGCGAAAGCCUGAUACAGCCAUGCCGCGUGUGUGAAGAAGGUCUUCGGAUUGUAAAGCACUUUAAGUUGGGAGGAAGGGCAGUAAGUUAAUACCUUGCUGUUUUGACGUUACCAACAGGAUAAGCACCGGCUAACUUCGUG
Molecule: ribosomal RNA, 484 nt
Filed under: uncultured bacterium
Lineage: Bacteria
Description: partial 16S ribosomal RNA
Rfam family: Bacterial small subunit ribosomal RNA
Source: RNAcentral